Molecule: ribosomal RNA, 507 nt
Filed under: uncultured Glomeromycotina
Lineage: Eukaryota; Fungi; Glomeromycota
Description: partial small subunit ribosomal RNA
Rfam family: Eukaryotic small subunit ribosomal RNA
Source: RNAcentral
CCAAUAGCGUAUAUUAAAGUUGUUGCAGUUAAAAAGCUCGUAGUUGAAUUUCGGGAUUGGCGCAUCGGUCGUGCCUUACGGGGUAUGAACUGGUGCAGUCAAUUUCUCACCUUCUGGAGAACCGCGAUGUCCUUAAUUGGAUGCCGCGGGGAACCAGGACCUUUACUUUGAAAAAAUUAGAGUGUUUAAAGCAGGCAUUUUUGCUUGAAUACAUUAGCAUGGAAUAAUAAAUUAGGACGGCAUGGUUCUAUUUUGUUGGUUUCUAGGACCACCGUAAUGAUUAAUAGGGAUAGUUGGGGGCAUUAGUAUUCAAUUGUCAGAGGUGAAAUUCUUGGAUUUAUUGAAGACUAACUACUGCGAAAGCAUUUGCCAAGGAUGUUUUCAUUAAUCAAGAACGAAAGUUAGGGGAUCGAAGACGAUCAGAUACCGUCGUAGUCUUAACCAUAAACUAUGCCGACUAGGAAUCAGACGAUGUUAAUUUUUUAAUGACUCGUUUGGCACCUUACG